This 253-nucleotide ribosomal RNA is filed under the name uncultured bacterium. RNAcentral's name for it is "partial 16S ribosomal RNA". It matches the Rfam family "Bacterial small subunit ribosomal RNA", at positions 524 to 776 of the family's 1533-position model. The record is from RNAcentral.
UACGUAAGGGGCAAGCGUUGUCCGGAUUUAUUGGGCGUAAAGAGCGUGUAGGCGGCCAGGUAGGUCAGCUGUGAAAACUCGAGGCUUAACCUCGAGACGCCGGCUGAAACCCUCUGGCUAGAGUCCGGAAGAGGAGAGCGGAAUUCCUGGUGUAGCGGUGAAAUGCGCAGAUAUCAGGAAGAACACCCGUGGCGAAGGCGGCUCUCUGGGACGGUACUGACGCUGAGACGCGAAAGCGUGGGGAGCGAACAGG